This 277-nucleotide long non-coding RNA is filed under the name Prunus persica (peach). RNAcentral describes it as "long non-coding RNA (PPER_LNC004615)". The record is from RNAcentral. Lineage: Eukaryota; Viridiplantae; Streptophyta; Magnoliopsida; Rosales; Rosaceae.
UUAAAGGCAUUUUGUGAUUUUUUUUCAAACAAAUGUGAGUGAAUUUAUGGGCCAUAAUUGCUUAGGGAUAAAGAAAUUUCAUCAAAAGGAACAGGACACACCUGGAAUAGCUCCUAGAAACCUCUGAUCACAAAUGGAAUGGAUCAUAAUUGAUUUGGAAUGAAAUUAGAAAAUUCUAAAAAAUUGACCUUUAGCGACGAAAAAUCUGAUGAACACCGUCGCUGAAAACCCUUUAGCAACGAAAAAUCUGAUGAACACCGUCGCUAAAAACCCUUUU